GCCAGGUGUGGUGGCGCACACCUGUAAUCCCAGCAGCUCAGGAGGCUGAGGCAGGAGGAUCGCAAGUUCAAAGCCAGCCUCAGCAAUUUAGCAAGGCGCUAAGUAACUCAGUGAGACCCUGUCUCUA
Molecule: small RNA, 127 nt
Filed under: Marmota monax (woodchuck)
Lineage: Eukaryota; Metazoa; Chordata; Mammalia; Rodentia; Sciuridae
Source: RNAcentral